This 26-nucleotide non-coding RNA is filed under the name Homo sapiens (human). The record is from RNAcentral. Lineage: Eukaryota; Metazoa; Chordata; Mammalia; Primates; Hominidae.
UGCCUUCCUCUUGUCUCAACUGCAAA